UACGAAGGGGGCUAGCGUUGUUCGGAAUUACUGGGCGUAAAGCGUGCGCAGGCGGCUUCUCAAGUCAGGGGUGAAAGCCCAGAGCUCAACUCUGGAACUGCCUUUGAGACUGAGAGGCUUGAGUACGGGAGAGGUGAGUGGAAUUCCCAGUGUAGAGGUGAAAUUCGUAGAUAUUGGGAAGAACACCGGUGGCGAAGGCGGCUCACUGGCCCGAAACUGACGCUCAUGCACGACAGCGUGGGGAGCAAACAGG
This 253-nucleotide ribosomal RNA is filed under the name uncultured bacterium. Its description in RNAcentral is "partial 16S ribosomal RNA". It matches the Rfam family "Bacterial small subunit ribosomal RNA", at positions 524 to 776 of the family's 1533-position model. The record is from RNAcentral.